This 497-nucleotide ribosomal RNA is filed under the name uncultured bacterium. RNAcentral's name for it is "partial 16S ribosomal RNA". It matches the Rfam family "Bacterial small subunit ribosomal RNA", at positions 28 to 507 of the family's 1533-position model. The record is from RNAcentral.
GAUGAACGCUGGCGGCGUGCCUAAUACAUGCAAGUCGAGCGAACAGACGAGGAGCUUGCUCCUCUGACGUUAGCGGCGGACGGGUGAGUAACACGUGGAUAACCUACCUAUAAGACUGGGAUAACUUCGGGAAACCGGAGCUAAUACCGCAUAAUAUAUUGAACCGCAUGGUUCAAUAGUGAAAGACGGUUUUGCUGUCACUUAUAGAUGGAUCCGCGCCGCAUUAGCUAGUUGGUAAGGUAACGGCUUACCAAGGCAACGAUGCGUAGCUGACCUGAGAGGGUGAUCGGCCACACUGGAACUGAGACACGGUCCAGACUCCUACGGGAGGCAGCAGUAGGGAAUCUUCCGCAAUGGGCGAAAGCUUGACGGAGCAACGCCGCGUGAGUGAUGAAGGUCUUCGGAUCGUAAAGCUCUGUUAUUAGGGAAGAACAACUGUGUAAGUAACUAUGCACGUCUUGACGGUACCUAAUCAGAAAGCCACGGCUAACUACGUG